Long non-coding RNA from Ooceraea biroi (clonal raider ant), 2182 nucleotides. RefSeq lists it as uncharacterized. The record is from RefSeq and is a predicted model, not a curated record. NCBI's taxonomy places the organism in Eukaryota, Metazoa, Arthropoda, Insecta, Hymenoptera, Formicidae.
CUAUGACAGCCACGCUUUUCUCCAAGAUCGUUCUUGCCACUGGCUGUCGCUAGUUAACGAAAACUAUCGAUAAGAUACAGAAUCGCACAGUCGAUUGACAAUCAUUGCGCAAUAUAGUGACAAUUGCAUAAGAUGAUUGAAGGAAAUCUGAACUUUUUACGUCCAUUUUGUUUGGCAUCGGGAGUCGGGAACACCCGUCCUAGCUACGAUCCUAAUAGGCGGCGGAGGUAAGGAUCGGAGGGAUUCACCAAUGACGAGCGAGCCGAGCCGACGAAGAGGGGAUGAGUGCACGUGACUUGCAGCGUGUCGUGCUGUCAAAAUCGUAAGAUUUCAUCUGCAUGAAUUAAGAUUUUUCCCGACGAUUCCAUUUUCGCGCUUCCUCUCUCGACUGCUUCUUUGAAAAGAUAGCUUGUGAAAAAAAAUCAAGAUUGGUGAUUAAUUCAUGGCAGUGAGGAAACUCGGACUUUCCCUCUCCUUCCGCUACAGUUUGCGCACGCCUAAACAUGAAUAAAUAACUAUGUCGAUCUCGAUAUAUUAUAGGUAGAGUCAUUAACUAUAAAGCAAGAAGUUUACUACACUAACGGAACAUUUAAUUCCGGUAUAAAUAAUGGACGAUGAACGAGAGAACAAGUGCUUCGCGUGGCAAGCAUUAACUUGUCGUGUCACGAAACGUGCAUCGAACUGAAAGCGGAGCUAUAUAUAUAUAUAUAUAUAUAUAUACAAUGUUCAAUGUUUUAUACCUUCGAUACGUGCUAUAUAAAUCCCAACAUGUUUUAUAGAUUCAGAAUUAAAAAAUGCAUACACGUUUUUGCAAUUCAUGCAAAUGAAAAGUGAAAUGCAGAGACGAAGCAAGCCAUGGUGUCAUAAAAAAAAAACAAUUUUACACAUUGUUACAAAGCGGACGGCGAGUAUUGACGGUAUUUGCACGACGGAGAGUAUUUUGCGAGAUGACGUUACUCGAUUAUUCACUCCAUCGACUGGCAAAUUGAUUUAUCGUCAUCGUCAAACGGCUGCUGUAAUUCACAGGCAAAGAGAGAAAAAACUUGCGGGGGAUAUUUUAUAAGCCAAUUAAUAUUCGUUUAAUCUAAUCGCCGCUUUCGAAAUUAAUACGAAAAUCAGUUUUAAAAACACGAUUUGUGAUGAUUCCGAGGAGAAAUGUGGAUGGCACAUGUUGAGGACGGAUCAUUAGUAAAUAGAGUGUAACUAUAGUGAAUAGCAAUUGCGCAAAGUACGACGGGUGAUAUGCGAAUAAAAGAACUGCGAGUCCUAUUGUUUACGGAUCAAUAAUGAACGUGCGUAUGACUUCUAGCGAAUAAAUCCGCGAUUUAUUGUUCACAGUUGAUUAACUCGGUAUAAAAGAAACGCAUGCAAAGAAAGAACACAGGAAUAAUAAGAAUAAUUGACAGAUAAAUUAACGAGAAUUAUUCGUUACCUGAAUUAAAGCAUGAUAUAAACUAUUAACUUACAUUACCGCGAUACUUUGCGCACAUGAUCCUUUUACACUUUAUUUGUAUAGAAAUUGUUUCUUAAAACGCGACAAAUUUAGGAAAAAAUUGUCGAAUAAAUAUAAAUCCGAAAUUAGUUUAAGCGAAUUUAUGCGCACGCUCAUUCCGCAGAUUGAUUUUCCCCGAGACAAAUAAUCCAAAUGUUCGAUUCUACAUUAAAGCGAGCCAAGCAUUCUCGAAAACAUUUUGCUUUCGUUAGUAACGACGUUCCAUGCGUUCCCUUUCGGGAAACUCACGAGCAACAAUGCACUGAAAAUCGAUAUACCUCACACACGAUUUGAGGAACAAAAUGCGAAGACGUCGAGCGACCCGUCUCGUGUCUCGGCGCUCAUCAAGCUUUUAAUCAAUCGAAACCAUCUCCACUUCACGUCACUCUCGGUAAACGAACGGGAGAGUGAGUGAAGAGCCGCGACAGCCAACCACCGGAGUGAUGAAAAUUCCAAACCGCCGAAGAAAACUAACUGGCAGGCUAUUUAUUGUGUGUUGGGAAACGUCGCACACUUUCUCCCGGCUGUUACAAAAUCCCUAAACCCUCUGGCUUUCCUUGGCAACAAUGAUUUUGUAAGCACAAUCGCGUUGACUUUGAUAAGAAUAGCACAGCUGUAACGAUAUUAAAAGCGAGACGAUAUACGUGUGUAGUACAGCUUGAAAUAAAGGUUGGCUUACAUACGAUCACA